RNAcentral lists this ribosomal RNA (445 nucleotides) under uncultured bacterium. Its description in RNAcentral is "partial 16S ribosomal RNA". It matches the Rfam family "Bacterial small subunit ribosomal RNA", at positions 354 to 796 of the family's 1533-position model. The record is from RNAcentral.
GUGAGGAAUAUUGGACAAUGGGCGCAAGCCUGAUCCAGCCAUGCCGCGUGCAGGAAGACGCAUCUAUGGUGUGUAAACUGCUUUUGUACGGGAAGAAACACUCCCUCGUGAGGGAUCUUGACGGUACCGCAAGAAUAAGGAUCGGCUAACUCCGUGCCAGCAGCCGCGGUAAUACGGAGGAUCCAAGCGUUAUCCGGAAUCAUUGGGUUUAAAGGGUCCGUAGGCGGUUUAAUAAGUCAGUGGUGAAAGCCCAUCGCUCAACGAUGGAACGGCCAUUGAUACUGUUAGACUUGAAUUACAAGGAAGUAACUAGAAUAUGUAGUGUAGCGGUGAAAUGCUUAGAUAUUACAUGGAAUACCAAUUGCGAAGGCAGGUUACUACUUGUGGAUUGACGCUGAUGGACGAAAGCGUGGGGAGCGAACAGGAUUAGAUACCCUUGUAGUCC